This 800-nucleotide ribosomal RNA is filed under the name uncultured bacterium. Its description in RNAcentral is "bacterial SSU rRNA". It matches the Rfam family "Bacterial small subunit ribosomal RNA", at positions 8 to 838 of the family's 1533-position model. The record is from RNAcentral.
AGAGUUUGAUCCUGGCUCAGAAUCAACGCUGGCGGCGUGCCUAACACAUGCAAGUCGUACGAGAAAGCGGGGGCAACUCCGCAAGUACAGUGGCGUACGGGUGAGUAACACGUGACUAACCUACCUUCGAGUGGGGGAUAACCUCGGGAAACCGGGGCUAAUACCGCAUAACAUCGCAAGAUCAAAGCAGUAAUGCGCUUGAAGAGGGGGUCGCGGCUGAUUAGCUAGUUGGUGGGGUAAUGGCCCACCAAGGCAGUGAUCAGUAGCCGGCCUGAGAGGGCGCACGGCCACACUGGAACUGAAACACGGUCCAGACUCCUACGGGAGGCAGCAGUGGGGAAUUUUGCGCAAUGGGGGAAACCCUGACGCAGCAACGCCGCGUGGAGGAUGAAGGUCUUUGGAUUGUAAACUCCUUUCGACCGGGACGAUUAUGACGGUACCGGUGGAAGAAGCACCGGCUAACUCUGUGCCAGCAGCCGCUGUAAUACAGAGGGUGCAAGCGUUAAUCGGAAUUACUGGGCGUAAAGCGCACGUAGGCGGUUUUUUAAGUCAGAUGUGAAAGCCCCGGGCUCAACCUGGGAAUUGCAUUUGAAACUGGGGAACUAGAGUGUGUGAGAGGGGGGUAGAAUUCCAAGUGUAGCGGUGAAAUGCGUAGAGAUUUGGAGGAAUACCAGUGGCGAAGGCGGCCCCCUGGCACAACACUGACGCUCAGGUGCGAAAGCGUGGGGAGCAAACAGGAUUAGAUACCCUGGUAGUCCACGCCGUAAACGAUGUCUACUAGCUGUUCGUGUCCUUGUGAU